GGCUUAGUAGUUUAUUUAAAACUUUUGACUGUUAAUCACAUGAAGGGUGGUGAAGCACCCCUUAGCUA
RNAcentral lists this transfer RNA (68 nucleotides) under Bathymodiolus sp. 5 South. RNAcentral describes it as "tRNA-Asn". It matches the Rfam family "tRNA". From Rfam's summary of the family: Transfer RNA (tRNA) molecules are approximately 80 nucleotides in length. Their secondary structure includes four short double-helical elements and three loops (D, anti-codon, and T loops). Lineage: Eukaryota; Metazoa; Mollusca; Bivalvia; Mytilida; Modiolidae. The record is from RNAcentral.